RNAcentral lists this ribosomal RNA (252 nucleotides) under uncultured bacterium. RNAcentral describes it as "partial 16S ribosomal RNA". It matches the Rfam family "Bacterial small subunit ribosomal RNA", at positions 524 to 776 of the family's 1533-position model. The record is from RNAcentral.
UACGUAUGUCGCAAGCGUUAUCCGGAUUUAUUGGGCGUAAAGCGCGUGUAGGCGGUUUAGUAAGUCCGAUGUGAAAAUGCGGGGCUCAACCCCGUAUUGCGUUGGAAACUGCUAAACUAGAGUAUUGGAGAGGUAAGCGGAACUACAAGUGUAGAGGUGAAAUUCGUAGAGAUUUGUAGGAAUACCGAUGGGGAAGGCGGCCUACUGGACAGAUACUGACGCUAAGGCGCGAAAGCGUGGGUAGCAAACAGG